UCCCAUGAAGAAAGUCACAUAUGUCCUUUCCCAGUUCAAGAAGCUGUACUGGUAUACCUUCUGGGACCAACUGGGGGGACGGAAGGAAAUUUGUUCUAGAAAGUGCUACCUGAAGGAU
Molecule: small nucleolar RNA, 118 nt
Organism: Sorex fumeus (smoky shrew)
Lineage: Eukaryota; Metazoa; Chordata; Mammalia; Eulipotyphla; Soricidae
Product: small nucleolar RNA SNORD22
Exons: 1
Source: RefSeq, a predicted model, not a curated record